RNAcentral lists this ribosomal RNA (253 nucleotides) under uncultured bacterium. Its description in RNAcentral is "partial 16S ribosomal RNA". It matches the Rfam family "Bacterial small subunit ribosomal RNA", at positions 524 to 776 of the family's 1533-position model. The record is from RNAcentral.
UACGUAGGGGGCAAGCGUUGUCCGGAAUCACUGGGCGUAAAGCGCGCGCAGGCGGCUAUCUACGUCCGGGGUGAAAGCCCAGAGCUCAACUCUGGGAUUGCCUUGGAUACGGGAUGGCUUGAGGAUCGGAGAGGCAAGGGGAAUUCCACGUGUAGCGGUGAAUUGCGUAGAGAUGUGGAGGAACACCUGUGGCGAAGGCGCCUUGCUGGCCGAUUUCUGACGCUGAGGCGCGAAAGCGUGGGGAGCAAACAGG